UUUUUCGCCUAAGGAUGGGUCUGCGGCCGAUUAGGUAGUUGGUUAGGUAAUGGCUUACCAAGCCGUUGAUCGGUACGGGUUGUGAGAGCAAGAGCCCGGAGAUGGAACCUGAGACAAGGUUCCAGGCCCUACGGGGUGCAGCAGGCGCGAAACCUCCGCAAUGUGAGAAAUCGCGACGGGGGGAUCCCAAGUGCCAUUCUUAACGGGAUGGCUUUUCAUUAGUGUAAAGAGCUUUUGGAAUAAGAGCUGGGCAAGACCGGUGCCAGCCGCCGCGGUAACACCGGCAGCUCUAGUGGUAACAAUUUUUAUUGGGCCUAAAGCGUCCGUAGCCGGUUUAAUAAGUCUCUGGUGAAAUCCUGUAGCUUAACUGUGGGAAUUGCUGGAGAUACUAUUAGACUUGAGACCGGGAGAGGUUAGAGGUACUCCCAGGGUAGAGGUGAAAUUCUGUAAUCCUGGGAGGACCGCCUGUUGCGAAGGCGUCUAACUGGAACGGUUCUGACGGUGAGGGACGAAAGUUAGGGGCGCGAACCGGAUUAGAUACCCGGGUAGUCCUAACUGUAAACGAUGCGGACUUGGUGUUGGGGUGGCUUUGAGCUGCUUCAGUGCCGAAGGGAAGCUGUUAAGUCCGCCGCCUGGGAAGUACGG
This 645-nucleotide ribosomal RNA is filed under the name archaeon. Its description in RNAcentral is "bacterial SSU rRNA". It matches the Rfam family "Archaeal small subunit ribosomal RNA", at positions 195 to 840 of the family's 1478-position model. The record is from RNAcentral.